This 301-nucleotide ribosomal RNA is filed under the name uncultured bacterium. RNAcentral's name for it is "partial 16S ribosomal RNA". It matches the Rfam family "Bacterial small subunit ribosomal RNA", at positions 509 to 808 of the family's 1533-position model. The record is from RNAcentral.
CAGUCGCCGCGGGAAUACAGAGGGUGCGAGCGUUAAUCGGAUUUACUGGGCGUAAAGCGUGCGUAGGCGGCUUCUUAAGUCGGAUGUGAAAUCCCUGAGCUUAACUUAGGAAUUGCAUUCGAUACUGGGAAGCUAGAGUAUGGGAGAGGAUGGUAGAAUUCCAGGUGUAGCGGUGAAAUGCGUAGAGAUCUGGAGGAAUACCGAUGGCGAAGGCAGCCAUCUGGCCUAAUACUGACGCUGAGGUACGAAAGCAUGGGGAGCAAACAGGAUUAGAUACCCCGUAGUCCCUGUCUCUUAUACC